GUGCCAGCAGCCGCGGUAAUACAUGUGGGGCGAGCGUUGUUCGGAAUUACUGGGCAUAAAGGGUGCGUAGGCGGUUUCGUAAGUCUGGGGUGAAAGUCUUCGGCCCAACCGGAGAAUUGCCUUGGAUACUGCGGGACUUGAGUGUGUAAGGGGUAGGGGGAACGAGCAGUGUAGCGGUGAAAUGCGUAGAUAUUGCUCGGAAGGCCAGAGCCGAAGGGGCCCUACUGGUACACAACUGACGCUGAGGCACGAAAGCGUGGGGAGCAAACAGGAUUAGAUACCCUGNUAGUCCACGCUGUAAACGAUGGGUGCCAGAUGUCGGGGGUCUUGGACUUCCGGUGUCGAAGUUAACGCGUUAAGCACCCCGCCUGGGGAGUACGGCCGCNAGGUUAAAACUCANAUGAAUUGACGG
This 412-nucleotide ribosomal RNA is filed under the name uncultured bacterium. RNAcentral's name for it is "bacterial SSU rRNA". It matches the Rfam family "Bacterial small subunit ribosomal RNA", at positions 505 to 916 of the family's 1533-position model. The record is from RNAcentral.